AUGCCUUCAACAAAUCCAGCAUUGUGGUCUAAUUACGAGCACGGGGAGUCUGACGACGCGCGCCCGGAGAGCGACAACGUGUGCCCGUGGGACACGGCCGGAGCGGGUGCGGGGGCGGGGACGUCUCGGGCCUCGAUCCCUGCGACCCUGUGGGAGGCCGGCGCGGGCCCCCUCCGGAAGCACUCGACCCAGCUGGACCCGGACUCGGGCUCUUCCUCCUCGGACGUGAGCCUCCUGGCCGGCGGCGACCUCGGGGACAAGUUCCGCUCCUGCGAGCAGCGGCUCCGGCGCCUCUCCACCACCGCCGCCCCCGCCCGCCCCGCCGCCCGCCCCUCCGCCUCCUCCUCCUCCGCCUCCGCCGAGGACAUCAUCGGCGCCUGCAAGACCUCCCAGCCCGAGCCCGAGCCCUUCCUCCAGGCCGCCCAGGAACACUCCCACGAACCUCGCAGGUCCGUAACGAGUUUGAGUCCCGGGUGCAGUGGGCGGAGGCCCCUGGCCUGCAAGCCGCCUUCGAUCAGCGUGAGCUCCGCCCAAGACGUGGAGGAGACCUCCGGGGAGACCGAGGAGGAGAAGGAGAAGGAGAAGGCGGUUGAGAAGGAGACGAAAGAGGGGAAGGAGAAGGACGGCGAGAAGGAUAAAGAGACGCAGGGUAAGGAGAGACUGACUGAGGAGCCUCACUCCAAGUGUGAGAGCAAGGACAAAGCGCUCAAGAAGAGUGACAGCGAUGUCUGUCCCUGGGAAGACGAGGAGAGCUGCAAAGUGGACGCGCCAUUCGUCAAAACGUACGCAACCCUCGGCUAUCUCUAG
RNAcentral lists this long non-coding RNA (807 nucleotides) under Bemisia tabaci. Its description in RNAcentral is "lncRNA ENSASIAIIG012131". The record is from RNAcentral. Lineage: Eukaryota; Metazoa; Arthropoda; Insecta; Hemiptera; Aleyrodidae.